GCGCAACCAAGAUAGGCAAAGGGAGGUAAUAAUAAUUUUUCAAACUUGCGUUUCUAAUGAAUUCCAUCUAAAUACAUAAUUUUUAAUGCAAAUAUUUUACAAAUAUAUUACAAUAUGUCUAAUAUUUAUACAUUUCCUUAGGCAAAGUAUGUUUAUCAAAUUUAUACUUAUGAUAAAAUAACACUAUCUUGGUUGGGCAACCAGGAUAGGAAAAUGAAAUUUUAAAAAUACCUCCAGUGAAAAUCUAAUUUGUAUUAAGUGUUAAGUGAACAUAAAUGAGUGUAAAUGAUCAGAUGCUAAAGUUUCGAACAAAUCCGUUACAUGGCCAAAAUCCGAUUAUCCACCUUUAACCCAGUAAACACCUGACGUCGUACCGACGUUGGUUAGACGUUGGAUUUUGGUCGCGACGUCGGCGACCUGAAUCCAACGUCUAACCAACGUCAUAUCCACGACGUCUAAUAGACGUCAGACUUAGACGUCUAAAAGACGUUGGAAUUAGGUUGGAUAGAAAGUCUGAUAAAUGUUUUUAGUUAUAAAACUAACUGGUAUAAUUUUGCUAGUAUAGUUUAAAGAUAUUUACUUCUUUUCAUAAAGGCCUGGACAUGCGCUUAUUAAUAAUAGUUCAUUCUCACAACAAACAUUAUAUUAAUUAUGUUACAAUAUCGUAUGAGAUUGUCUAUUUUCGGAGACGGAUUUUUUCACGAACUUUAAACUGUUCAAGAUAAAAAUGCAUUCUAUACACAUGUAUACAUUAUUCUAAAUUCACAUAGAUCUUCUCUUCUACACAUGUUGUCUAUUAGUCACACAUUCGCGAGAUAAGCCUGCAUCGGUUUACACAGUCUUCCUGUAAUUUGAUAUUUAUUGGGAUAAGAUAGAGCAAGUUUAUAAAUACUUUACACAAAGGGAAGGAUCCGCAACGUGGAAAUGUUGGCGGAGUUGAAGAAUCAUACAAAAAUGACGAAACUUGAAAGUUUCAAUUACUGCAUUACUUUUUGGACUUAUUGUAUUAGACUUACGUCGCCAUAAUAUGAAAUAAAGAUGAUAAAAUACA
Long non-coding RNA from Mercenaria mercenaria, 1051 nucleotides. RefSeq lists it as uncharacterized. NCBI's taxonomy places the organism in Eukaryota, Metazoa, Mollusca, Bivalvia, Venerida, Veneridae. The record is from RefSeq and is a predicted model, not a curated record. The transcript is spliced from 2 exons.